RNAcentral lists this ribosomal RNA (165 nucleotides) under uncultured bacterium. RNAcentral's name for it is "partial 16S ribosomal RNA". It matches the Rfam family "Bacterial small subunit ribosomal RNA", at positions 342 to 504 of the family's 1533-position model. The record is from RNAcentral.
CGGGAGGCAGCAGUGAGGAAUAUUGGGCAAUGGAGGCAAAUCUGACCCAGCCAUGCCGCGUGCAGGAAGACGUCCCUAUGGGUUGUAAACUGCUUUUAUACGGGAAGAAACCCAACUACGUGUAGUUGGCUGACGGUACCGUAAGAAUAAGCACCGGCUAACUCC